This 1119-nucleotide long non-coding RNA is filed under the name Heterocephalus glaber (naked mole-rat). Its description in RNAcentral is "lncRNA (ENSHGLG00000031884.1)". The record is from RNAcentral. Lineage: Eukaryota; Metazoa; Chordata; Mammalia; Rodentia; Bathyergidae.
CUGUGGGACUGUGUGAUUCAAAAUUCAUUUAUUCCCCUUGCCUCUGUUCUGUUUAGAGUUAGUGGUCAGAAAUGUGCUUGCUAAGCAGAUAAAAUCUGUAACUAAGAGUUCUUAGUUAAAUCAUCCACCCUCUUGUUUGCCCGGAACUUGGAAAAUUCCCGGACUCACUAUCAGUAGAACAACCGUCACCAGACGUGCUGACUAUCAGUACGUGACGGCCGUGACCCUAUGGUCACAAGGUCUUACUGUGUGCCUGCUGACCAUCAGCAUGUAAUAAUGAGUCAUAAACCUUUGUUCCCGUUCCUGCCUGUUAACCCCCGCUUCAGUCUCCUAUAAAAAUAGCUUUGGAUUCUGUGCCUGCUGCCUCUCUCAGCUACCUUGCUUUGGGAGUGCCGUCUGGCCAGACUAAUAAAGGUCUGGUUUUUUUUACCUUCCACUUGUCCGGUGUGUUCCUUCCCGGGUGAUCGCCGCUGUAGCCAGCUCCUCGGAGUAUUUGGUAAGGCCCUCGGUCUUACACACCAUGUACUAAAAUCAAAAUGAAUCAAAGAUCUAAAUGUUAAAACAGAAACAUUAAAUCCAUUGGAAGAUAAAAUAGGUAAAACUCUUGAAGACAUAGGCACAGGAAAGGACUUUGUGAACAGAAUCCCAAUUACACAAGAAAUAACAUCAAGAAACUAUAAACAGGAUAAUAUCAAAUUAAAAAGCUUCUGGACAGGAAAAGAAAUAACCAACAGGUUGAAGAGACAACCUACAGGAUGGCUAAAAAAAAAAAAGUUUUGCCAGCCAUUCCUUGGACAGAGGACUAAUAUCUAGAACAUAUAAAGAACUGAAAAGAAAAAUUAGACCUACCCAAAAUAAAAGACCCAAUCCCCAAAUGAGCAACUAAAGUAGACAUUUCUCAAAAGUACAACUGUUCAAUAAGUACAUGAAAAAAUGUUCAACACCUCUGGCCAUUAGUGAAGUGCAAAUUAAAACAACACUUCGAUUCUAUCUCACCCCAGAAAGACUAUCAAGAAAUCAAAUAACCGGGCCAGGGAUUUAGCUCAGUGGUUCUGCUGCCUGACUCUCGAGCUCAAGGUCCUGAGUUUGAUCCCUGGUACCAAAAAAAAGAAAGAAAAG